UGGCCUAGAAGGGCACAUCAAAAAAAUUUCGUCAAAUUUAUAUUUAGGGGUUAUUUUGGGCAUUCGUUCCAAAAGCUGCCAUUAAGGGGGCAGACCUGAGAAAAUCAUAAAAAAAUUCAUUUUUUUUUAAAUGCCUGAAUAAAUUCUUUGAUCCUUUCUCUUUCUAUUGCCGCUAAGCGAAUGUUGAAAUUCGAAAAAUUGCGCUCAGGAGAGCCCAAAGAGUGCUCAGGGUGGCCGGGUGGCUGGACCGCUAAGGCUUGCCUGGCCGCUCAGGACAGGAUACACGACGAGGAAGGAGUCCUCAAGAGCCCCGGAAUCUUUUAGGACCAGUUCAUCUUACAGGUCGAUUGGGUGCAACGGAGUAGAGGAGUAGAGAUGGGUUCAUUGAUAAAUGUGAAGAACUACACAUACUAACAAUAAGCGAGUUACUGCCUCUGAAGAAGCUCCUAACAAAGCAAAUAACAAGGGCCGAGACAAUGUAGAAAGUGCAGAAAGCAGCGAGUGUGAUUUUACUUUGAAGAAAUCAACUGAUAGCAAUAACUUAUUAGAGUCUCCUCCCAAUUCCGAAGAUAGGCGACCCAAUGACAAAAGGG
This is a long non-coding RNA of Frankliniella occidentalis (western flower thrips), 593 nucleotides long. RefSeq lists it as uncharacterized. Lineage: Eukaryota; Metazoa; Arthropoda; Insecta; Thysanoptera; Thripidae. The record is from RefSeq and is a predicted model, not a curated record. The transcript has 3 exons.